GAUGAACGCUGGCGGCGUGCCUAAUACAUGCAAGUCGAGCGAACGGACGAGAAGCUUGCUUCUCUGAUGUUAGCGGCGGACGGGUGAGUAACACGUGGAUAACCUACCUAUAAGACUGGGAUAACUUCGGGAAACCGGUGCUAAUACCGGAUGAUAUUUUGAACCACAUGGUUCAAGAGUGAAAGACGGUCUUGCUUUCCCUUAUAGAUGUAUCCGCGCUGCAUUAGCUAGUUGGUAAGGUAACGGCUUACCAAGGCAACGAUGCAUAGCCGACCUGAGAGGGGGAUCGGCCACACUGGAACUGAGACACGGUCCAGCCUCCUACGGGAGGCAGCAGUAGGGAAUCUUCCGCAAUGGGCGAAAUCCUGACGGAGCAACGCCGCGUGAGUGAUGAAGGUCUUCGGAUCGUAAAACUCUGUUAUUAGGGAAGAACAUAUGUGUAAGUAACUGUGCACAUCUUGACGGUACCUAAUCAGAAAGCCACGGCUAACUACGUG
RNAcentral lists this ribosomal RNA (497 nucleotides) under uncultured bacterium. RNAcentral's name for it is "partial 16S ribosomal RNA". It matches the Rfam family "Bacterial small subunit ribosomal RNA", at positions 28 to 507 of the family's 1533-position model. The record is from RNAcentral.